UUGGCCAGGAAGCCUUUGCCGUCCUCAGUGUCGGCUUGCAGCGCCUCCGCCUUGUCGAAGUUGCCGCCACCCGGCAGCGGCUGCGGCGCGAACUUGCGGGCGGCCGCCGCCUCCUGGUGCUGGGGAGACGCAGAGAAGCCUCCAGGCAGCGUAGCCAUGAGCGUGGAGGGCAGAUCUGAUACGUGGAAAAAGUGACAUGCUGCUUCAGAGUCAAGUCUGCAACUUGGGGCUGAGACCCCAACACAGUCCUAACCCUGAAUGAGGCAUUUCACCUGGCUGAAACCCAGGUGGGAGAACCUCAUGGGCCUGGGUCACGUGCCCGGUGUCUUUUGUAGGAGUGUGGUGUGGACUGAAUGUCAGAUAUUUGCGGACGUGUCAAGUGCUUUCAUUCAAGUAAUGACUAAGGGCUUCACCGGCGGAGGGCCAGGUUGCUGUUCGCAACAAGGAUACCCUUCAGAAGAACGAGGACACCGGCCCACCCUCUGGAGGGCUGCAGGUGCCCUUUUUCAUUUUUAAUGAAGAGCUUCUAAUUGGCCAAACCUUGGCACUUCCUUCGAGCAGGUAAUGAUGUAACUUGCAGACCACAGGCAUGAGAGAAACAACACAAACAAUUGACUGAGGCAGAUCUAGCCGGCGCACACUGGGCAGUCAUCAAAAAUGAAGGUGUGGGAGCCUGUUUAAUGACACGGAAAGCUAUUUGCAGUGGUUAUGUGAAAAGAUGAGGUACAAAACAGCACUGAGCAGUCUUGUGUGUGUGUGUUUUGUUUUGUUUUUUGUGUUUUAAAGCAGAGAUGUAUAGGCAUCGAUAGCAAGCAAGCCUGGAAGUAGGCUGAUGUGUAUUUACCUAUGGCUGAUGG
Long non-coding RNA from Mustela lutreola (European mink), 857 nucleotides. RefSeq lists it as uncharacterized. The record is from RefSeq and is a predicted model, not a curated record. The transcript has 3 exons. Lineage: Eukaryota; Metazoa; Chordata; Mammalia; Carnivora; Mustelidae.